GUCUGUGGCCAAGCCACCCUGAACUUACCUGAUCUCGUCUGAUCUUGGAAGCUAAGCAAGGUCGAGCCUGGUUAGUACUUAGAUGAGAGACCACCUAGGAAGACCAGGUGCUGUAGGUG
This 119-nucleotide ribosomal RNA is filed under the name Pteropus alecto (black flying fox). The record is from RNAcentral. Lineage: Eukaryota; Metazoa; Chordata; Mammalia; Chiroptera; Pteropodidae.